Molecule: ribosomal RNA, 253 nt
Filed under: uncultured bacterium
Lineage: Bacteria
Description: partial 16S ribosomal RNA
Rfam family: Bacterial small subunit ribosomal RNA
Source: RNAcentral
GACAGAGGGUGCAAACGUUGUUCGGAUUUACUGGGCGUAAAGCGCGUGUAGGCGGCCUUGCAAGUUGGAUGUGAAAGCCCACGGCUCAACCGUGGAAGCGCAUCCAAAACUGCAUCGCUCGAGUCUCGGAGAGGAAGGUGGAAUGCUUGGUGUAGAGGUGAAAUUCGUAGAUAUCAAGCAGAACACCUGCGGCGAAGGCGGCCUUCUGGACGAUGACUGACGCUGAGGCGCGAAAGCGUGGGGAGCGAACAGG